This 506-nucleotide ribosomal RNA is filed under the name uncultured bacterium. Its description in RNAcentral is "partial 16S ribosomal RNA". It matches the Rfam family "Bacterial small subunit ribosomal RNA", at positions 29 to 523 of the family's 1533-position model. The record is from RNAcentral.
AGUGAACGCUGGCGGUAGGCCUAACACAUGCAAGUCGAACGGCAGCACAGGAGAGCUUGCUCUCUGGGUGGCGAGUGGCGGACGGGUGAGGAAUACAUCGGAAUCUACUCUGUCGUGGGGGAUAACGUAGGGAAACUUACGCUAAUACCGCAUACGACCUACGGGUGAAAGCAGGGGACCUUCGGGCCUUGCGCGAUUGAAUGAGCCGAUGUCGGAUUAGCUAGUUGGCGGGGUGAAGGCCCACCAAGGCGACGAUCCGUAGCGGGUCUGGGAGAGUGACCAGCCACACUGGAACUGAGACACGGUCCAGACUCCUACGGGGGGCAGCAGUGGGGAAUAUUGGACAAUGGGCGCAAGCCUGAUCCAGCCAUACCGCGUGGGUGAAGAAGGCCUUCGGGUUGUAAAGCCCUUUUGUUGGGAAAGAAAUCCAGCUGGCUAAUACCCGGUUGGGAUGACGGUACCCAAAGAAUAAGCACCGGCUAACUUCGUGCCAGCAGCCGCAGUAA